UUGUGUACCCCCAACCUCUGACCCCCCCCCAUUGUAUUGUGGAGAUGGGGGGGGACACCCCCAUAAUGGACCCUUGUGAGUCCUCCGCUGCAGCAGGGGGCAGGACCCCCCGUGACCUUUGACCUAGGGGACAUGGUGGGACCCCCCCCCUUGACCUCAGGGACAACCCCCCCCCAAUAAAAGCCUUUGAUCGAA
Long non-coding RNA from Strigops habroptila (Kakapo), 195 nucleotides. RefSeq lists it as uncharacterized. The record is from RefSeq and is a predicted model, not a curated record. Lineage: Eukaryota; Metazoa; Chordata; Aves; Psittaciformes; Psittacidae. The transcript is spliced from 2 exons.